RNAcentral lists this long non-coding RNA (7231 nucleotides) under Coffea arabica (coffee). Its description in RNAcentral is "long non-coding RNA (CARA_LNC001696)". The record is from RNAcentral. Lineage: Eukaryota; Viridiplantae; Streptophyta; Magnoliopsida; Gentianales; Rubiaceae.
AAGUGUAUAUCAGAUGUUUGGCGGCCAUAGCUCGUGCUUACCGCCCACGGAGCGUGUUAGGGCAAGGCCACUUAGUCAGGAGUCACGACUUGGGAGUUUGCAAAAUGUACAGGUUAGUCAUACAUCUAUGGCGGUUAUCCCAGACACUAAGCAAACAACUAUAAGCUGACAAUCAUGGAAUAGCUGUUAUUUGAUAAGCUAGUUGUCCUUUGGUUCGACAUUUGGAUUAGAUGUGAUUGAUUAUCCCAAGAAUUAUGGAAAGGGUAUUUAUUUAUUUACUUGUUUUGGUUAGAGGGAAACUUCAAAUCUUAACGGAAGAGGGGAAAGAGGAUGGAAAAGGAGAAGGUUAGAGAGAUACGCUGACCACUGACCACUGAAGUUUCUUGAAUUAGGUUUUGGAAAUGUGGAAAGGAUACUUCGUGGUUGUGCAAAAUAGUUAGACGGGGGCUUAAUUAUUUUUUGAAUGAAAAAACAGUGGGUGAACUUAAAUUAUGAAGGUAUCUAAAGCAGGAAGCAGCUCACGUACAUAUAUAUUAAAGAAUUAAUCUUGACUAUAGAGACCAUUAUAUUUUAUACACUAGUGAUUUUGGGUGAAUAACUUAUCACUCACUUUGAAUUUGACCUCUAAAUUUUAUGCAUGUGUAGCAUGUAUUCAGACCUGUUAGUGUCUGCUUGCUGAAAAAAAGUCAGUUCUACAUGAUUUGUUGGAUCCAUAGAAAGUCCACUAUAUUACACGAAGAACAAGUUUUCAUUCAACCCCUAUUAGAAAAAACUACACAAAUUUUUCUUUAAAACUCAAUAAUAUCUUUUCAUCGAUUAUUUCCUAGAUAUGUACACAAGUUAAGAGCAUUCCUCUUAUGAAAUACACCCAAAACGGAAACUAAGACUUGUAAAUUCUAUCAAGCAACGGUCAAAACUAGGUUUUAAAUCUAAAAAUAGGGAAACAAAUAAUUUUCUCCAAGCUCUGUAUGGAUAUUCAUUCUUUUUUUAAAAAAAAAAAUAUUUUUGUAAUAUAGUAACAACUCUAACAAUAAUUCCUAAAAUAAUUCUAAAAAUACCAUUUCAAAUACACUUUACAAAAACAAAAAAUAUUAAAAAAAAUUCCCCCACCUUUUCUACUUCCACCUACCACCAUCCCUCCUCUCCUUAUUCCUCCAUUGUCAUUAUUGGCCCUCUCCCAUCCUUCACCGCUAUCAUUGCGCCUUCCCUUCCUUCUUCUUCCUUCUUCCUCUUCUUCUCUUCCUUUCCUUUCUCCUCCUCUCUCUCCCUCUCUCCUCUUCUCCCCAGCCACUCCCCUCCCUCUGAGGAUGCGACUUUCUUAUCUCAGCCAGAAGCCACGACUCCCUUUCCUUUCAACUUCUUCUUCAUUCUCUCCUCUCCUUCAUUCUCCUUUUCUCCCUUGCCACCCUCCUUUUCUCCCCUGCCACCAUCCUUCCCUUUGAUGCAAUCUCUAGCCAUGACUUUCUUAUUGUAGCCAAAAGCUGUGAUUAAGGAUGAAGGGGGUGACGAAGUGUGGGAGGAGAGACGAGGAGGAAGUAGGGGAAGGAGUGGUAGAGGAGGAGGAAGGAGGGGAGAGGAGGAGGAAGGAGGGGAGAGGAGGAGUGAGGGGGUGGAGGGUGGUAUUAGUUCCAAUUUUCAAAAGAUAUCCCAAAAAAAAUUUAAAUUCUAAAAAAAUCCCAAAAUACAUUCUCAAAAACACCCCUAAAAAAACCUAAUCCAUAUUCCAUACUGAGCCAAAGUUAUAUCACUUUGUCAUAUUUGAACAUUCAAUUGCAUCAAUGUCAAAAUUUUGGUACUUAAAUUUCUUUAAUCAAAAUCAAUUAGCAAAUAAGUUUCAGUCCCUUUUUCAUUUGUAAUAUGAACUACACAUGCCAAUAGUGAAAAGACCAAAAAUAACCGUUUGUAACAGAGUUCUACCAAUAGUUCUUCAUUAUGUCUCACCAAAAAAAAAAAAAAAGAAGUCUAAUUAAGAGUUGUGUCCAUAGAAAUAUGUUACCUAUAAUGGUGAUUUUGAAAACAAAAUCAGGCUUCAAAUAUUUGGGGUUAUUUAGGCUUUUUAUCAAUGGCAUGUGCAUUUCAUGUUAUGUUAGCAAACUCAAGAGAAGUUGAAACUUAUAUACUAAUUAUAUUCAGUUGAAAAAAUUAUGUACUACAGAUGUAUGUGCCAAAAGGAGGAAAUCUAUUCUAGGGGUUACAUUGAUGUUUGAAUAUGUUUGGGUUUUUAUGGUAAAAUUUUUUAUUAAAUUUUCAAAUUUGCAGUUUUUGUUGUUGUUCUUAGAUUUGUUGUACCUAUUUAUGUGUAAUGUAACUUCCACCAUUAGUACAGAUGUCAUUAAUGAAAUUAUGAUGUAUUUUGUCAAAAGGGUGAUCUAUCUAGAUCAAUUGAGAUAACACAAAGGGGGGAGAUCUAUUCAAUUGAACAUCCAGCAGCAAAUUACUUUGCAGCCAUAUUUUUAAGGUUUAACAAGAUAUUUAAGAAUUAACCCGGUAAACAAUUAUAGCUAGUUUGGGAGUUUGGGACACAAAAGAAAAGAAGAGAGUUUAGGUUAGAAAAGAAAAGAAAAUAGAAGAAGAGAUUGUGAUAUCUCUUCAUGUUGUUUGGGAGUUUUUGGAGAGAAAGAUAAUGAAGCAAUUUUCCUUUAUUUGAAAAUAAAGAGAAGUAAAAGAAAAGAUUUUAUUUUUCAUAAGUACCCUUGAAACUUGAAAUUCACAUGACAUAAGAAAACGUUAUUUUAUAAUCUUUAUAAGGGCAAAAUUGAUAUAUUAAAAUAUUUACUUAACUCACUUUCCUUUCUCGCACUUUCCGCCUAAUUUUGGGCUGACGGUUUUCUCGUAGCUCGAAAGAGGUGUGGAAUCCCUUCUUUUCUUUCCAUUUCUUUCCCAUUAGAACUCCCAAAUGCUCUUUCCAAUUAAAACUCCCAAAUGCGAGAAAGAUUUCACUUUCUUUCUUAAUCUUUUCUUUUCUCACCAAAUACGUCCUCCCAAACGGGUUAUUAGUCUCAUUCAUUAAGAACGUUAAGGGGAAUCCCAGUUCCACAUACAGCAGCAGAGUUUCUUUUUCUCUUCCAGUUCUCAUCGGACCAGAUACAAUCCCUCUUAAAUCUCUAAGGAUCAGCCGAACAAUCAUCUCAGGAGAGUAGAGAUUCUUGAUAAGAAUCUGCUUGCUCCUGGUGCACCACGAGUGGUGUACAGUUGCUGCAUAUGCAUUUGUUCUCUCAUGACUAAUAAAACGGUCCUGAGAACAAUGCUUGAUUGUCGACAGGGGCCUUAUUUCCCAAUCAAUAGGCUUUCUAUACACAGGGAAUUUGCUCUGUACAGUUAAACUAUUUAUAAUUCACUAAAAUGGUAAUCAUGCUUACUAGCAACAGGACCAUUAUGUUCUAGAUCCUAGCUAAGAUAUAAGGAAAAUAGUGUUAGGAUGUUAUAUGAUUAACAGUUAAUUUGUACCAGAUGUUAUGCUUUUGAUAUCUACAGGGUAUAGUUCAAUGGCCGAUACGUGCGACUUGUUGCAUCCUCUAGUCAAGUCAAAAGUACGCACAGUUAUUUUGCUUUAAAAAUCUUCGCUCAAGUCUGAACAAAGAUUACCUGCAGCUGUUCAGCUCCUCUAGGACUGUUUUUGGCACUCCUCAUUCUGAAUAAAUUUUCUGUAGCUAAUUUAACCAAACUCCUGUUUUUAAAUUAGUGUUUUGUGGUACCUUAAAAUAGGAAUAAAUAUCAACUGUAACUGUAUGCUGCUCAGCUCUUCAUCCUGCUAAUCUAAGAUCAGCCCUCUGUGAAGGAAUGUGCUUCAAAAGCAAACAGAGAUGCCCUACUUUAAUUGCAGGAGGCGGAACUGAGAACGGUGAGUAUUAGCCAGUCAUCUUCUUAUCUUUGGUGUUUGCAAUCUGAGCGCUUCUCUUUUCUUUUUCUUUUUUUUUUAAAUCAGACUUGUCUAGUUGUAAGUAGGUUGCAGAAAACAAUUUUAACCACAAAGUUAUAAAUUGAACCCUAUCUUCAAGGAAGAUGCUCUCUGCUUUCAUUCGACAUUCGUGUCGUAACUUGUAAGAUCACUAUGAAUCAUUGUUCUCAAAAUUAGUUAAAUGUUACUCGUAGUGGCUUAAAGUGCGAAAUUAUGGCAGGACUAAUUAAAUAAAGGUGGUAAAUGUAAUUGAAACUCAGAAAAAAAGUUUAGGUUGCAAUUUUUCUAGCUGUUAAUUUGAAUACUAAACAAUCAAAUGUGGAAGUUUACUGUUUUAGAGGCUUAAUGUGAUAUUCGUCCAUGUUGUCAUAGGCUUACCUGUUAAUUGCCAGUUUACUGAAUCGUUUAUGUUCUUUUUUGUUUUUGCCCUUGUACAUUGCCCUCUUUGAUACUGUUCUGGGGCUCUGGAUCUUGUGAUUUUCGGGUGACUGGCUGUUUAGAAUCCUUUCUUGUUAUUUUUGUUGACAUUUCUACUUGAAAUUGGAGCAGGUUUAGAACUUUCGAUUUUUAAGAUAAAAAGGGUGAUCCUGAUCUGAAUCCUAAGCAAUAAAUCUCUCGAUUACACAAUUUCGUGCAGCCAAUUUAAGAUCAAUUGAAAAGCAUUCUUGGAAAUUGCUGCUACAAGACUACUUUCUUGUUGUUGUUGUUUAGACCAAUGUAGCUAGUUCUGUACCUGGAAAAUCAACUGACAUAUAGCUAAAUUUCGACCAUCUUAUUGUUGGGAUUUUGAAAGCAAGACUUACAGCUCCCAGUCAAUAUAUUGUCCUUCGCCAUUAUAUAGAAAUUUCUUUGGCAAAUGUCUCCCUACUGAGACCUGAUUGAAUGGGGAAACCUUAUGGGUACUAUGAGUGCUAAAAGGUUAACAACUGGUUCCUGGGAUGCCAAGACGCCACAUUUUCUGCUAGUAUAUCAUGAGGAAGUGUGUCCUGAGUAAUUGAGAUAGUCAUUUGUAGGGGUAAUGCACCUUGACAACCUAGAAUAAUUAGCUUGUCAUCCAGAGUUGUCCCAGGGACUGGGCCGUCACAUGCGAAUAAUUAGGAGAAGUCCCUUGACCCAUUUGAGAUUAGUUCAAUUUUCUUGGAUUGACCCCUUAAAUGUCUAAUUGUCAUCAAUAGAAUAGACUGCAAUGUUGUUAAACUCAGACUGAAUAGCGACUCAAUUAAACUACUCGGUCAAGGAUCAACUGCUUGGAUCGGUCAGACUGUUUUCAAAAACCCGCUAACGCUAGCAUGAUGUUAUAAUUUUUUUAUAUUUUUAUAAGAUUCAGAAAUAUUGAAAUUAAGUUCUUGGUUAUAUUUGACUAAUCAUGAAAAAUGUUCCAAAUAUAUUAGAGUUGCAAUCAAAUAUACACCUAAUAAUUAUAUACAAAAAUGUAAAUUCAUGGUUAAAAUAUGUCUAUUCUCCAAAACUAAUUAAAAAACUAAAUUAAAACAAAUUAAUGCAAGUUGGAAUCACUGAUGCUAAAUUAAGGAGAUCAUAAGGAUGAAAACAUCUUGAUUUAGAGAUCAUUUAGGAAAGCAAAUAAUUUUGAUAUUUACACUAAAUGGGUGACGUUUUCUUAUUCCCAUUAAUAAAUGAAAGUUUUACAAUAUAGGUAACUCAAAUUAUAUUUGGAGAAAAGAAAAAAGAAAAGUUUGAGAAUCGAGUCAACUAGUCGAAUCAGGUUACUAGUUUAUUUAGUUUUUGAUGGUUUUAACUGGUUUUUAACCAAAACCGAUUAUACUACAAAUCAGUUUGAAAAAAUCGGAUCGAUUGAACCAGCCAAUUCGAUCUGGUCUAACAACACUGCAACAGAGAAGCCUUCACAACCACAAGUGGUUCCCAGGAAAUUCGUCAGAAUCUCUCCUGUGGUUUAAUGUAAUGCACCUUUGAACAUGCAUAAACUUUUGUCUGCUACAACUCUAACUGCAGGGGACAGGGCCUAUCAUGUGUUUAAGGCUUGUCUCCUAAAGUGGGCCUUGCACUCUUACCAAGAAGUUAUGAAUUCCGAAUAAAAAUAAUUAUUUGUCUAUUGUGAACUAGAAGUAGGAUGUUAACCCAUAAAUGGUGACCCUUGGGACUAUGAAUGAUCCGACUAACUAUUCAUAUUUCUAGACUGGAACGCUUACUGAGACAGUUGAUCAUCCAGUUUCCACAGAGUUAUUGAACCCCCACCCCACCACACCCCAUCGAGCCAUGUAGCUUAUUAAUUUAGAUUUUGUACAGAUCUGCAGAUACCUUUAUGUUGGGAUCUUUAGGAAGAAGGAAUUGGCUACCAAGGAACAAAUGAGGCAAUUGAGGUAACAUUAUUGUUUCCAUUUUCCUGUUGCUUGAUUUUCUUUCAAUUUUCAUGCAGCUACAUAGAUGUACUAAGAAGGAAUGUUUAUCACUGAAGUCGAGACUGCCCUGUCCUAAAAUUGCAGUAUAGACGGUCUAGUAGUUGAGUGUGUUAAUCUUGGUUUGGGUAAUCUGGGUCCAUGUAAUAUUUUAGGCAGAUUCUGCAAUUCCUAUUUGUUAUUACAUCCUCAGGUUGACAUUAUUGUUGCAUGAUGAAACAAGUAUUUCUAAAAUUUCGAUCGUAAAAUUUCAGUUAUUAUUCUAAACGUAGACUCGUACAUAUCAUCAUUGAUACAAACAAAAUAAGGGGAUGUUUCCUUACUGGAACCAUAAAGUUUUUCAAAUUUUAUAAAACUAAAAUCGAAAAGUUUAGUGUGUUAAUUAAAACAAAACAAAAAAAAUUUUGAUUUCUUCCAUGUCUAAAAGCGUUGACCAUAUUGUUUUUAAUCUUAUCUUUUCAGCUCCACUAGUGUUUGGUUUGCAGAUCAGGUGAUGGGGCUUUGAACAUGUUAUACAAGGCUUUGUGUCGAAUUACACAGCGAAUUGGCUGACCCUUUUCUUUUUGGUUUGGAAAGAAAGAAAUAGAGUACCACCGGUAUUUAACUCUGCAUAACGUAAAUGUGUAGGUUGUGAAGAGGUGAGUAGUGAUGGGACUAAUUUUGGGAUCUGCUUAUAGGUCAUUUUUGCAUGCGAAAUGUUUGUGAUAUAUCAACAAAUACUGGUAACUGGACUUCAUUUGAGUGAAUUUUUAGACAUCGCAUUGGCCCCCUUUAUCAAAAUUAGCAUAUACUACCACCUUCUUGAACAAGAUUAUCCUCCCAAUUUCCCUAAGGUGUCCCCAAGCACAUCAAUUGAGAAUAUCAAAGGAAGAUUCUGUAAUUACGAAAAACUUCAAAUUCUAACGAAAUGAGAAUUUUUGGAUCCUGUACCUGAAAGCAAACGUAGGGAUUAAAUCUA